AUUAAACUGUGGGCAUUGUAGCGCAUUUCUUCCUUAAAUUAGUAAACCAAAGUUCUCCAACUGUCUUUAGGUUUUUUAUGCUCCCAGCAUCUUAGAUCAUUGUUGUAACAUUAAAAUUUCCGUAGUGUGAUCUUUGCCUGUAAAGGUGGUUAAAUAAAAUAAGCAAAGCUUUUGUCUGGGAAAGAAUUGAAAAGAACACCAAGUUCCAGAGUAAGAUAUUCUUGGAUAGAUCCGGAUACGAAUUGUAAUCCAAAGUUAAAAAUAGUAAUUGUAUUUGUAAUCCAAAGUCUUAAAGGCCUGUAGAAGUUUACAUUCCUUAGAUACAUUGCUGGAGGUUGUGUUUGUAGAAUACCCGGGUAUUUGUUAUAGAGUAUAGGUUGUAGAGUCCAGCUUUCCAAAUAUUUGGCUAGAAUUGGUUGCGGAUAUUGAUCAGCAUCAUCUGUUAUCACUGUGGUGAUGGCGUU
Non-coding RNA from Pelobates cultripes (western spadefoot toad), 464 nucleotides. Lineage: Eukaryota; Metazoa; Chordata; Amphibia; Anura; Pelobatidae. The record is from the annotation of a GenBank genome assembly.